GCUCAGGACGAACGCUGGCGGCGUGCCUAAUACAUGCAAGUCGAACGCUCUUUUCCCACCGGAGCUUGCUCCACCGGGAAAAGAGGAGUGGCGAACGGGUGAGUAACACGUGGGUAACCUGCCCAUCAGAAGGGGAUAACACUUGGAAACAGGUGCUAAUACCGUAUAACAAUCGAAACCGCAUGGUUUCGUUUUGAAAGGCGCUUUACGGUGCCGCUGAUGGAUGGACCCGCGGUGCAUUAGCUAGUUGGUGAGGUAACGGCUCACCAAGGCCACGAUGCAUAGCCGACCUGAGAGGGUGAUCGGCCACAUUGGGACUGAGACACGGCCCAAACUCCUACGGGAGGCAGCAGUAGGGAAUCUUCGGCAAUGGACGAAAGUCUGACCGAGCAACGCCGCGUGAGUGAAGAAGGUUUUCGGAUCGUAAAACUCUGUUGUUAGAGAAGAACAAGGGUGAGAGUAACUGUUCACCCCUUGACGGUAUCUAACCAGAAAGCCACGGCUAACUACGUGCCAGCAGCCGCGGUAAUACGUAGGUGGCAAGCGUUGUCCGGAUUUAUUGGGCGUAAAGCGAGCGCAGGCGGUUUCUUAAGUCUGAUGUGAAAGCCCCCGGCUCAACCGGGGAGGGUCAUUGGAAACUGGGAGACUUGAGUGCAGAAGAGGAGAGUGGAAUUCCAUGUGUAGCGGUGAAAUGCGUAGAUAUAUGGAGGAACACCAGUGGCGAAGGCGGCUCUCUGGUCUGUAACUGACGCUGAGGCUCGAAAGCGUGGGGAGCAAACAGGAUUAGAUACCCUGGUAGUCCACGCCGUAAACGAUGAGUGCUAAGUGUUGGAGGGUUUCCGCCCUUCAGUGCUGCAGCUAACGCAUUAAGCACUCCGCCUGGGGAGUACGACCGCAAGGUUGAAACUCAAAGGAAUUGACGGGGGCCCGCACAAGCGGUGGAGCAUGUGGUUUAAUUCGAAGCAACGCGAAGAACCUUACCAGGUCUUGACAUCCUUUGACCACUCUAGAGAUAGAGCUUCCCCUUCGGGGGCAAAGUGACAGGUGGUGCAUGGUUGUCGUCAGCUCGUGUCGUGAGAUGUUGGGUUAAGUCCCGCAACGAGCGCAACCCUUAUUGUUAGUUGCCAUCAUUUAGUUGGGCACUCUAGCAAGACUGCCGGUGACAAACCGGAGGAAGGUGGGGAUGACGUCAAAUCAUCAUGCCCCUUAUGACCUGGGCUACACACGUGCUACAAUGGGAAGUACAACGAGUCGCGAAGUCGCGAGGCUAAGCUAAUCUCUUAAAGCUUCUCUCAGUUCGGAUUGUAGGCUGCAACUCGCCUACAUGAAGCCGGAAUCGCUAGUAAUCGCGGAUCAGCACGCCGCGGUGAAUACGUUCCCGGGCCUUGUACACACCGCCCGUCACACCACGAGAGUUUGUAACACCCGAAGUCGGUGAGGUAACC
RNAcentral lists this ribosomal RNA (1445 nucleotides) under Enterococcus sp. Its description in RNAcentral is "bacterial SSU rRNA". It matches the Rfam family "Bacterial small subunit ribosomal RNA". The record is from RNAcentral. Lineage: Bacteria; Bacillati; Bacillota; Bacilli; Lactobacillales; Enterococcaceae.